Molecule: long non-coding RNA, 2420 nt
Organism: Balaenoptera musculus (blue whale)
Lineage: Eukaryota; Metazoa; Chordata; Mammalia; Artiodactyla; Balaenopteridae
Exons: 3
Source: RefSeq, a predicted model, not a curated record
UGAUCCCUCCAGAAUUCAAAAACUUAAGUAUGUUUUUCAUGACAAUAUGUGUACUUGCAUAAAUUCAAUGAGAAUCUGUUCUCCUCAUAACAAGACACAACUGGAAAUAUUGGCUCUAUUACCAAGGCUUUGGCUGGAUUAUCAUAUUCAAGAAAGAUGUACAUAGACAGAUAUGACCAGACAGCUUUAAGGAACUUCUCAAAAAUAAUAAAUAAAUCAGCCUGGUACCUUGCUUACAAGAUUCCAGCAAAACAAUUUUGAAAAAGAGUUUAUAUGGUCAAUCAUUAUUCUUGCUGCAUUUAGGUGAACAAUCAAAUCAAGUUUAAUACCAACAAAUUAGUUUUACUAUGAUUAUCUUUGACAAAAGUGAGGACAAUCAUAGAGAGAAAAAUCAUGUUUGCACUUACGUAGCUAUUAAGUUCUAGUCCUAUCAAUUAUCUUCAAGGUUUUGUCAUAUACCUGCACACUGGAGUGGAUCCUCAAUUCUUCUAGUCUCCAAUAACGUCUGGCUACUCCUCUCCAGACUAAUGUUUUCAAUUUUCUUCCACUUUUCUGAUUUGAAAUCAGUAAGAACAAAGACUGCCUUGAAUCCUCUUGGAAGGGACUAUACCAGGGCCUCCUCACUACCUAGAAGGCAGCCAAACUUCAGGGACUCGAACCCUGAGUACACAUCUCACAGGUAGAGAAGAUCGCACCUGACAUGUGGUCCUAUACAAACACUGGAAACCUCCAAAUUGAAAUGACUAGGAAGAGAAGCAGCUGACAACUGAGGCAUACAGCUUUCCAAAGAUGACCUGACCAGGCCUGUAUACCCUUUUUCUCACUGUUGCUUUUUUUUUUUUACUCUCUCUCUCUUUCACAGAAAGACAAUGCCCUUGUUUGUAUUUCCCAAAUCCUCUUCUUUUGAUUAUGGCCUUUCAGAAACUACCUCAUCAUGACCCCAUAACAAAUUAGCCUUUUCACCUGCUUUUUGUUUUUUUUUUUAAGAGUUAGAAGGUUCAGAAUUCACUGAAGUCUUUCUUUCAUCCGGACUAUUAACUGUUUUGGGAUUUUUUUACCUAGAUUCAUGGUCUUUGAAUUUGCAACCUUACAGGCUGUCUUACUGGAUAACACAUUUGGUUCUAAACAGCUCUUUUGGGGAUAACAAUACUAUUUUAAUAUGUCUUUGAAGUUCUGCUGUUUUUGCAAAGAGCUCGUCAGCUACUGCGCCAUACUUAUUCCUGCCCUGUCUUCCCAACAUGCUCAGUUAAUUCUUUCCGUUUGUGCUCUUGCUGUAUUCACUGUGCUGUUUUCUCUUCAGUACAAAACAGAAGCCUCCCAUUGAUCCAUUUUACUAAACCUUCAUGGCCACCUUGAGUGGGAACUUCCAGGAGACAUACAUGACUCCACGUCUGCCUCUGGAGGAGGGGCCUUUUUUCCCUCAGGUCCAAGUACGUGCCCAAGAAAACAUGAUUAGAGCAGCAGAAACUCAACUGCAUGGAAGAAUCGAGGAGGAAGAGCACUGACUGCAACAAGUCUCACCUGACCCUCCGUGAUUUGUUCAGUUGGCUACCCUCAGGCCUAAGGUAAUGCUGGCUCAACAUUUCAAGAUGAUCAGAAUGGUCUCCAACGCUUAUGACCUUAAGAAGAUACAGACUUUAUAUGGUGGGACACAACACCCAGGAAAAGUCCUUCCUGGCACCAAGGGACAAAGGCCACUGAAGAUGGAAAACCUGACUUUUGAUCAGCGAUGCUUUCAGAGAAAAGCAGAAAAUGUCAAACUGAAUAGAGGAAACCUCAUUUAAAAUAGCUGGGAGUCCAGAAGGGGGAACCCUCACACACUACCACAGGAAGCAUCAACUACUCCAGUUAAUUACAUACUCCAACAGGAAAGCAUCAUUCACAGACCUACUAGGAGGGAAGAUUUCCUGUUCACCCAGCAACUCAGCCUAGGAGGAACCAUCACCACCUAAACUCUCACUUUCUACCAGGGGACUUUCUUCAAAACAACCCCUCCCAACUUCCUCCUUUUUCUCUGUAACAGAAUGGGCCUCUCCUUUGUUUGCUGAACCUAUCUAUGGCUUUUCCUAUAGUUCGCUUGUCUCGAAUUGCAAUUCCUCUGCUAUUCCCAAAUAAGCCCACUUUGCUGGUAAAAUAACUGGCUGUUUUCUUUUUAUCUUAAAAGCUUCAUGCCUUCCACCUUAUUUUGCAUGUCUCCAAAAGGAGACUGCCCACUUCAUGUCAGUGUGAACUUAAACUGGAUCACCUAAAUUAUUUUCUUUAGUCGUUUUUUUUUAACACUGCUGAGAAGAGGGCCUGGAAAGUAUUCAGCAUUUAAAUUAGUGCACUGAAAUCAUGCCUCCCUAUUCUUUUGAAAACGUUUAUGUCAGCUGUUUCUCCACUCUCCCAGGAAAGUUCGACUCAUCUUUUCCCAUCACCCU